Molecule: unclassified non-coding RNA, 267 nt
Filed under: Stereum ostrea
Lineage: Eukaryota; Fungi; Basidiomycota; Agaricomycetes; Russulales; Stereaceae
Description: partial internal transcribed spacer region
Rfam family: Eukaryotic small subunit ribosomal RNA (bases 1-46)
Source: RNAcentral
AAGUCGUAACAAGGUUUCCGUAGGUGAACCUGCGGAAGGAUCAUUAAUGAAAUUAUGACUGGGGUUGUAGCUGGCCUAUAAAACGGCAUGUGCACGCUCCUUUCACAAUCCACACACACCUGUGCACCUUCGCGGGGGUCUUUUUUUCUCUUCGGGGGGAAUAAAGGCUCGCGUCCCUUUACACACCCUUUGUAUGUCUUAAGAAUGUCUACUCGAUGUAAUAAAACACAUCUAAUACAACUUUCAACAACGGAUCUCUUGGCUCUC